This is a long non-coding RNA of Notolabrus celidotus (New Zealand spotty), 413 nucleotides long. RefSeq lists it as uncharacterized. The transcript has 3 exons. NCBI's taxonomy places the organism in Eukaryota, Metazoa, Chordata, Actinopteri, Labriformes, Labridae. The record is from RefSeq and is a predicted model, not a curated record.
GCCCACGUUACACUGAAAGUAUGAAGUCCGGUCUUUGUUCAGUUCGGAUAGCUUGAGGGGGUUCAGUUUCUCAGUCUGAGCCUGUUUGGGUCAUUUCAGGCUGUGCAGACGGUGUUUUGUAUUUCAGACGGCGACAGUGACGACCGCAGACGGAGUUUGAUCGUCAGCGUAACAUCUGAUCCCGUGAAUGGAAAGGCCUGCGUUAAACACCUGAAGACGCUGGAGUUAAUUAGAGACGGAGCUGUGACUAAUGAGUUCCGGAUGAAGGAGGAGACGACAGGAAACAACCUGCAGCUGUGAGGUCAUGUGACCGGUCUGACUGUCUCCCAGUGAAACCAGUGGAACAGCUGAUAUCAGGUAUUCUACACCCUCGUCCUUCACCUGAUCAUCUGAGUCCAGCUCACUGACCUGGG